This is a long non-coding RNA of Apodemus sylvaticus (European woodmouse), 230 nucleotides long. RefSeq lists it as uncharacterized. The transcript is spliced from 3 exons. Lineage: Eukaryota; Metazoa; Chordata; Mammalia; Rodentia; Muridae. The record is from RefSeq and is a predicted model, not a curated record.
GUGGGAGGAAGCUCUCUACUGUGCUGACAGUAAUAGGUUGCAGCAUCAUCAGCCUCCACAGGAUUGAUGGUGAGGGUGAAGUCUGUCCCAGACCCACUGCCACUGAACCUGGCAGGGACCCCAGAUGCUAGGUUGGAUGCACGAUAGAUGAGGAGUUUGGGUGGCUGUCCUGGUUUCUGUUGAUACCAGUGCAUAUAACUAUAUCCAGAUGCACUGACACUUUGGCUGGC